UGGUUUUGUUGAGGGUUUUGAGAUCUAGGGUUGAGUCUGAGGUGUCAGGCAAGUAACGGUCGAGACGAAGAAGGCGAUGAUCCUUCUUCUCAAACAUGGCGCGCACAAACGAUGCCUCCAUGCUGUUCAAGAACUGCACGUGCUUCUCGUCCGUCCACGACCUCUUUUUACCGCUCUGCACGUGCGACUGCAUCCUGAUUUCUUAGUUUCAAUAUCUACUCGCCGGACGGAGUUUGGAGUUUGGAGUUUGGAGCUUGGGAGAACAACCAGG
Molecule: long non-coding RNA, 271 nt
Filed under: Prunus persica (peach)
Lineage: Eukaryota; Viridiplantae; Streptophyta; Magnoliopsida; Rosales; Rosaceae
Description: long non-coding RNA (PPER_LNC002847)
Source: RNAcentral